UACAGAGGUCCCGAGCGUUGUUCGGAUUCAUUGGGCGUAAAGGGUGCGCAGGUGGCGGGGUAAGUCUGAUGUGAAAUCCCGGGGCUCAACUCCGGAACUGCAUUGGAUACUGCUCUGCUUGAGUACUGGAGAGGAGACUGGAAUUUACGGUGUAGCAGUGAAAUGCGUAGAGAUCGUAAGGAAGACCAGUGGCGAAAGGCGAGUCUCGUGGACAGUUACUGACACUGAGGCACGAAGGCCAGGGAGCAAACGGG
This 254-nucleotide ribosomal RNA is filed under the name uncultured bacterium. RNAcentral's name for it is "partial 16S ribosomal RNA". It matches the Rfam family "Bacterial small subunit ribosomal RNA", at positions 524 to 776 of the family's 1533-position model. The record is from RNAcentral.